This 196-nucleotide ribosomal RNA is filed under the name uncultured bacterium. Its description in RNAcentral is "partial 16S ribosomal RNA". The record is from RNAcentral.
AUUACCGCGGCUGCUGGCACGGAGUUAGCCGGUGCUUCUUCUGCGGGUAACGUCAAUUGCUGUGGUUAUUAACCACAACACCUUCCUCCCCGCUGAAAGUACUUUACAACCCGAAGGCCUUCUUCAUACACGCGGCAUGGCUGCAUCAGGCUUGCGCCCAUUGUGCAAUAUUCCCCACUGCUGCCUCCCGUAGGAG